ACAGCAGUCGCCGCGGUAAUACGAGGGGUGCAAGCGUUAUUCGGAUUGAUUGGGUGUAAAGGGUGUGCAGGCGGUUUCUUAAGUCUGAUGUGAAAGCCCCCGGCUCAACCGGGGAGGGUCAUUGGAAACUGGGAAACUUGAGUGCAGAAGAGGAGAGUGGAAUUCCACGUGUAGCGGUGAAAUGCGUAGAGAUGCGGAGGGACACCAGUGGCGAAGGCGACUCUCUGGUCUGUAACUGACGCUGAGGAGCGAAAGCGUGGGGAGCGAACAGGAUUAGAUACCCCCGUAGUCCCUGUCUCUUAUAC
RNAcentral lists this ribosomal RNA (305 nucleotides) under uncultured bacterium. RNAcentral describes it as "partial 16S ribosomal RNA". It matches the Rfam family "Bacterial small subunit ribosomal RNA", at positions 508 to 807 of the family's 1533-position model. The record is from RNAcentral.